UGGGCCGUAGCCAAGCGGUAAGGCAGCGGGUUUUGAUCCCGCCAUGCGCAGGUUCGAAUCCUGCCGGCCCAGCCA
This 75-nucleotide transfer RNA is filed under the name Thioalkalivibrio versutus. RNAcentral describes it as "tRNA-Gln". It matches the Rfam family "tRNA". From Rfam's summary of the family: Transfer RNA (tRNA) molecules are approximately 80 nucleotides in length. Their secondary structure includes four short double-helical elements and three loops (D, anti-codon, and T loops). Lineage: Bacteria; Pseudomonadati; Pseudomonadota; Gammaproteobacteria; Chromatiales; Ectothiorhodospiraceae. The record is from RNAcentral. RNAcentral also lists the same sequence under 2 other names.